This 233-nucleotide long non-coding RNA is filed under the name Carica papaya (papaya). RNAcentral describes it as "long non-coding RNA (CPAP_LNC015640)". Lineage: Eukaryota; Viridiplantae; Streptophyta; Magnoliopsida; Brassicales; Caricaceae. The record is from RNAcentral.
CCCAUAUCGGACGGGGUAUGGGGACGGCCCUGGAAUCUGAUUUCAAGUGUUAAGGGUUAACGGGUAGCGGGACCCCUAUGGAUCCCCAUGGAUACUAGUGGGCUGAUAAAUGAGGAAAAUAUGUUGUGUAAUGAUUGAAUUACAAAAGGCGUGAUAAGUAUUAUGUUAUACAGUUAUAUAUGAUUUCAUGAUGAUGAUAAUGUUAUUGCUUUCGUAUACUGUUUUAUGAAUUU